CCCUUAGAUGAUUUGGGCUGCACGCGCGCUACACUGACCCUAACAAUGAGCAACUGUCUGGCCUGAGAUGGCUGGGUAGCCUUUUCAACCCAUGUCAUGAUUGGGCUAGAUUUUUGUAAGUCUUGAUCUCUAACGAGGAAUCCCUAGUAUGCGUGAAUCAUCAAUCCAAGCAGAUUAUGUCCCUGCCCUUUGUACACACCGCCCGUCGCACCUACCGAUUGGAUGGUCCGGUGAAGCCUCGGGAUUGUGGUUCUUGCCGCUUUAUUGUGGCGUGACCGCGAGAACUUGUCUAAACCUUAUCAUCUAGAGGAAGGUGAAGUCGUAACA
RNAcentral lists this ribosomal RNA (327 nucleotides) under uncultured eukaryote. RNAcentral's name for it is "partial 18S ribosomal RNA". It matches the Rfam family "Eukaryotic small subunit ribosomal RNA", at positions 1470 to 1796 of the family's 1831-position model. The record is from RNAcentral.